UUGGCUUACAUUGAUCUACUAGUCUACCACUGUAGAAACGCAGAGAAUAAUAGAGGGUGGUUUAAUAUGGACUUACCGACAAUAAUAACAGAUGCAAAUGAUGGAUUCAAGAUUGCAGGAAAUAAACGACAUUAAAUAUCUCUGGAAUGAAAAUGGCUGAUUUAUUUUGAUGUAUGAAUACGUGAAGAGGUCAAUAACUUCAAUAUAGGGGUCAUGGGACAUCAAAUAUUGCAUGUUACAGAUGAAUAUUUAUCUGGUUGAAUUCAUAUGAAUUUGUCAGUUCUGUGGGUUCCAAAACUCGGCUGUAACAAAUCAAGUUGGCUUUUCCAAAGAUAAGACGAAUAUUGUAGACCUGCUGUUCCUUCUUCAAUUACUUAUAAGGAGACAAAAGAAUAUUGGCUGUCGUGAUGCUAAAAUAUCAUACCUACUCGAUAGAUGGAUCCUUUCAGUUAAGUGACUGAACACAUUGUCUCUUCACUUAUAAAAUCAGCAGCGUAAACAUUUCCAUUAGACAUCAUACCCACUUUAUUAACCGUUUGCCUGAAUAAAACUAUUGCCAGUAUCAGUAAUAUAAAUGAGUAAGUUUGAAUUAGCGAACGUCACACCUGUACACAGAUUUAUCGCUUCCGGGCGUAAUCUCUUAAACAUACAUUAUGGAAGAGCUAAAUCUGCCUAUUGCAGGCCUAAAUUAUUAAUUAGACAUUAAGUAAAUUAUCCAGAUCAUAAUCAACUCUCGAUGUCAUCGCUAGAUUGCGAUGUUUAUUGGAUUAGGUUCCGAUUUGCUGUUUGACUUCCAUUCAUGAUUUAAUCAUGAAAUGGAUAAUCGAGACUAUGUUUUUUUAUCGUCCCGACUUUAGUAAUGAUGAUCGAGGCUAGGCCGAAAAUUCAAUCGCUAAAAUCUCGGUUCAGAGUGGAUCAAUUUGACUGAAAUUUUCCGCAAAUUCCCUUUACAUUAUCUAGUUUUUAACUAUUACAGUGAGAACUGCCAGCUCUUUAUCUUAUCUCCCAUAAUGUAUCUUUAAACUCAUUGAUAAAUAUUGCAGAGUGCAAAACUCUAUAGCCAGAAUUAUUGUUGAUACUAAAACAUUAAGAGGUAUGACCACGUUACAUCUGUACUUUAUAGAUUACAUUGGUUACUUAUUGUUUUAAGACUGUCCGGAAAACAGGGCGAUCACUUCUGUUGGCUAAUAUGGAGGCAGGCGACCAAAUAUUCUAACAAUGACUUUAAUUAGUGUCGAUUCUUCACUUCACUCCACAUUUUAUUUGAGCUGAACGGUCUCCAGCUCUCCACAGCAGACGGAGCAUCACCUGACAAAAUCUUGAACCAAAGCAUGAAUGAGAUUGAACUUGCAAAUAUGGAGAUACACCGUUUCAACUAGUAUCUUAGUAAGCAGGUAACUAUCCGCUGUAACCUCCCGCCCCUAACCAAAAUAUUGCAGAACAUCGCAAUUGAAACCCUGUUCUUAGAUUCUAGACCGAAAAAGUCAACAAAAUGGCCGUUGGACAUAAAGCAAGAAUUGAUGAUCUUCCAUUGAAUUUAGGUAUAAUGUGUUUUGUAUCAGAUUUUCCGCCUAUCUUCUUCAUUUUCCAAGUGCCAAGGGAAGCCUAUGUUCACUGUCAGUAUUUACGUUAAAGGCCAUUUGUAAGCCCACGUUUCUUACCACUCCCGGGAAAUCUAAUAUGUCAUUAUGUCUGUAAUUUUUAUUUCUCCUGAGGAAAAAUAUAAAUAUUUUAAUUUACCUAAAAGACUAAACGUGACCUACUGAAAUUAUAAGUAAGUUGCUGAUUUAUUAUAUUGUUUAUCUCUUAGACUUUAAUACUAUUGCUUUACUGUUUGGAUUAACUUAUUCUUAUGAGCACAAGACAUUGGCGGUCAUCAUUAUACAUAGAUCUGAUUAUACUUUCUGUGUUGGAAUUCUAGCGACCCCCUUUAGUGAUUGGUUCUCCAUGAGUAAAAGGUGUGUGCAGAUGAAAUUCAAGAGUAAUGAUUAUCUUUUGAGAAUCCAGUAACUUCUUAUCUUUGACCCGAACAAUGAAAAUUGACCUUUCAGAGAUAUUGAAGUGGAUUUAUUGAACAAAUACUACAAGUAUUGAUUUGAUUGACUGGAGAUAAAAGAUUAUUUUAUUGUAAGAGCAAUGACAAUAAACCUUUGUUACCAAUAUACCACAAGGAAACGUUGUAAUAGAAGUGAUAAACCGCUGUAAUUAAAUUUGUGCUCCAGGCCACCGUUUACAAUUUACCGGUCAAUUCUUGUAAUGUAACUUGGGAGAUUUAAUAUAUAAAGAUCAUUUAAAACGCUGACAAUUUGCUCAAGAGGCGUCAACUAAAAGCUCUUUAAAGAUAAAACCGUCGUUCUAUUUCCAUCCUAUAAUUCAACGUUAUCAUAAGAUUUACUAGUUAUUGUCACGGAGAAAAACCUUUGAUGAUUUCAUCUGAAACUGGACAUGGGUCAUCUUCGAUCAACGAUAAUUGUGAGCUUUAUAGAAGAACAAUCAUCUUCUCACCAGGGCUUUAAUCUUAUAUAAUUCAGUGGUUGUUCUGCAUAAAUUGUUUUAG
This is a long non-coding RNA of Patella vulgata (common limpet), 2557 nucleotides long. RefSeq lists it as uncharacterized. The transcript is spliced from 5 exons. Lineage: Eukaryota; Metazoa; Mollusca; Gastropoda; Patellidae. The record is from RefSeq and is a predicted model, not a curated record.